Molecule: non-coding RNA, 333 nt
Organism: Fukomys damarensis (Damara mole-rat)
Lineage: Eukaryota; Metazoa; Chordata; Mammalia; Rodentia; Bathyergidae
Source: Rfam
GGAUGUGAGGGCAAUCUGGCUGCGACAUCUGUCACCCCAUUGAUCGCCAGGGCUGAUUCCGCUGAUCUGGCCACCUAGGCGGGUGUUCUCUUCCUCUCUCACCGCUCCAUGUGCCUCCCUCCCGAAGCUGCGCGCUGGGUCAGAGUGGACGACCACCCCCGACGGAGGCGUCAAAGGUAUACAGUAGCUGCCCUACAGGGCUAAAACCUCCAAAUGCUUAAUAUAGACUCCAUUUGUUCACUAAAACAAAAGUUUCCCCUGAAAACAGCAUGUUAUGCAGUUAUUGCUCAGCUUUUAGACACAAAUGCUCUAGAAGGGAUGGUACCUGUUAGC